UACGUAGGUGGCAAGCGUUGUCCGGAUUUACUGGGCGUAAAGGGCGUGCAGGCGGUUUGUCUAGUCUAGGGUGAAAGCUCCCGGCUUAACUGGGAGAGGUCCUUGAUACUGGCAAACUUGAGGGAGGCAGAGGAAAGUGGAAUUCCCGGUGUAGUGGUGAUAUGCGUAGAUAUCGGGAGGAACACCAGUGGCGAAGGCGGCUUUCUGGGCCUUACCUGACGCUGAGACGCGAAAGCGUGGGGAGCGAACCGG
This 252-nucleotide ribosomal RNA is filed under the name uncultured bacterium. RNAcentral's name for it is "partial 16S ribosomal RNA". It matches the Rfam family "Bacterial small subunit ribosomal RNA", at positions 524 to 776 of the family's 1533-position model. The record is from RNAcentral.